Molecule: ribosomal RNA, 776 nt
Filed under: uncultured Neocallimastigales
Lineage: Eukaryota; Fungi; Neocallimastigomycota; Neocallimastigomycetes; Neocallimastigales
Description: partial large subunit ribosomal RNA
Rfam family: Eukaryotic large subunit ribosomal RNA
Source: RNAcentral
UACUAGAGUAGCACUCGCAUAUCAAUAAGCGGAGGAAAAGAAACUAACAAGGAUUCCCCUAGUAACGGCGAGUGAAGCGGGAAGAGCUCAAAUUUGAAAUCUUAAAGGGUUUCCCUUUACGAAUUGUAGUUUAAAGAAGCGUUUUCUGUUGAGGUUUUGGUAAAAGUUCUUUGGAAUAGGACAUCAUAGAGGGUGAGAAUCCCGUAUUUGACCUUUACUUUCAACUUUGUGAUACACUUCCAAAGAGUCGGAUUGUUUGGGAAUGCAGUCCAAAAUGGGUGGUAAAUUUCAUCUAAAGCUAAAUAUUGGCGAGAGACCGAUAGCGAACAAGUACCGUGAGGGAAAGAUGAAAAGAACUUUGAAAAGAGAGUUAAACAGUACGUGAAAUUGUCAAAAGGGAAGCGUUUGACACCAGUGUUGUUUUUCUGAAAAUCAAUUAAAGAACUGUUUAUGCUAAGCUUGUUUAGACUUUAUCAGCUAUCUGUUUAGUUUUGAGCUUUUCUUUAAUGCACUUUUCAGGUUAACAAGUCAACAUCAAUUUCUUUUGCUGUAAAAAAGCUUGAGGAAGGUGGCUUGAGAUUCGUCUUAAGUGUUUAUAGCCUCUUGCCUAUGCAGUCGGAGAGAUUGAGGUCUGCAGCGUAGAUCCUUCGGGGCUAAAUGCAUUUGUGCUAAGUUAUAGCAUUUUAUAGACAACUUGUUGACUAUGAUUUGUCUUGUAGCUUACUCGCUUAUGUUAUUUUACCUACGCUUAGGAUGUUGAGCGCAUGUCUCUCUCU